Molecule: small nucleolar RNA, 134 nt
Organism: Acomys russatus (golden spiny mouse)
Lineage: Eukaryota; Metazoa; Chordata; Mammalia; Rodentia; Muridae
Product: small nucleolar RNA SNORA17
Exons: 1
Source: RefSeq, a predicted model, not a curated record
CCUGGCCCUGGAGGCAUUCCCUUGAAGGUAUGGAUGCUCUGUCACAUGUGUGAGUAAGUGGCAGAGAGGACAGAGGCUAUGUCUACGCUCAGUAUUUUGACCUAUGAAUGUUAAAUGAUUGGUAGACUAGCAUU